AACGUAGGACACAAGCGUUAUCCGGAAUUACUGGGCGUAAAGGGCGUGCAGGCGGUUGGGUAAGUUAGGCGUGAAAGACUUCGGCUAAACCGGGGGAGGUCGUCUGAUACUGCUCAACUUGAGUAUGGUAGAGGCGUGUAGAAUUCCGGGUGUAGUGGUGAAAUGCGUAGAGAUCCGGAGGAAUACCAGUGGCGAAGGCGGCACGCUGGGCCAUAACUGACGCUAAGACGCGAAAGCAUGGGUAGCGAACGGG
This 253-nucleotide ribosomal RNA is filed under the name uncultured bacterium. Its description in RNAcentral is "partial 16S ribosomal RNA". It matches the Rfam family "Bacterial small subunit ribosomal RNA", at positions 524 to 776 of the family's 1533-position model. The record is from RNAcentral.